Molecule: ribosomal RNA, 513 nt
Filed under: Malassezia restricta
Lineage: Eukaryota; Fungi; Basidiomycota; Malasseziomycetes; Malasseziales; Malasseziaceae
Description: partial large subunit ribosomal RNA
Rfam family: Eukaryotic large subunit ribosomal RNA
Source: RNAcentral
AGAGCUCAAAUUUGAAAGCUGGCGUCUUCGGCGUCCGCGUUGUAAUCUCGAGACGUGUUUUCCGUGCGGCUCUAUGGACAAGUCCCUUGGAACAGGGCAUCGUAGAGGGUGAAAAUCCCGUACUUGCCAUGGAAGUACCGUGCUUUGUGAUACACGCUCCAAGAGUCGAGUAGUUUGGGAUUGCUGCUCAAAGUGGGUGGUAGACUCCAUCUAAAGCUAAAUAUCGGGGAGAGACCGAUAGCGAACAAGUACCGUGAGGGAAAGAUGAAAAGCACUUUGGAAAGAGAGUUAAAAGUACGUGAAAUUGUCGAAAGGGAAGCACUUGAAGUCAGCCAUGCUGCUUGAGACUCAGCCUGGCUUUUGCUUGGUGUAUUUCUCGGUAGCAAGCCAGCAUUGGUUUGUGUCUGCUGAGAAGCGUAUGGAGAAUGUGGCAUCCUCGGAUGUGUUAUAGCCCUGUGCAUGAUACGACGACGUAGACCUAAGAACGCAGUGUGCCCUCUGGGCGGGUCUUCG